RNAcentral lists this ribosomal RNA (305 nucleotides) under uncultured bacterium. RNAcentral's name for it is "bacterial SSU rRNA". It matches the Rfam family "Bacterial small subunit ribosomal RNA", at positions 335 to 656 of the family's 1533-position model. The record is from RNAcentral.
UACCUACGGGGGGCAGCAGUGGGGGAUAUUGGACAAUGGGGGGAACCCUGAUCCAGCGACGCCGCGUGAGUGAAGAAGUAUUUCGGUAUGUAAAGCUCUGUCAGCAGGGAAGAAAGCAAUGACGGUACCUGACCAAGAAGCCCCGGCUAACUACGUGCCAGCAGCCGCGGUAAUACGGAGGAUGCGAGCGUUAUCCGGAUUUAUUGGGUUUAAAGGGUGCGCAGGCGGAGGUGCAAGUCAGUGGUCAAAUUGCGGGGCUCAACCCCGUACUGCCGUUGAAACUGCAUCCCUUGAGUGCGCGAGAA